This 641-nucleotide ribosomal RNA is filed under the name Sphacelotheca polygoni-persicariae. RNAcentral's name for it is "eukaryotic LSU rRNA". The stretch from base 210 to 363 matches the Rfam family "5.8S ribosomal RNA". The record is from RNAcentral. Lineage: Eukaryota; Fungi; Basidiomycota; Microbotryomycetes; Microbotryales; Microbotryaceae.
GAAGUAAAAGUCGUAACAAGGUUUCCGUAGGUGAACCUGCGGAAGGAUCAUUAGUGAAAUAUAGCGUACCUGUUUAACCAGGACGUGACCCUCUCACUUUUCAAACUCUGUGCACUAUUUUGGCAAGUUGGAAGUUCGCUUCUAACUUGCGGCUCAUUAUUUAUAAACACUUAGUCAUUGUAUGUUAAAGAAAUUUUAUAACAAUAAAAAACUUUCAACAACGGAUCUCUUGGCUCUCGCAUCGAUGAAGAACGCAGCGAAAUGUGAUAAGUAAUGUGAAUUGCAGAAUUCAGUGAAUCAUCGAAUCUUUGAACGCAUCUUGCGCUCGCUGGUAUUCCGGCGAGCAUGUCUGUUUGAGUGUCGUGAACUCUUCAACCCCCAAUUUUUCUAACGAGAUUUUGGUGUGGCUUGGUUUCUGAGCGCUGCUGAAUCUUCGGAUUGUUAGCUCGCUCGUAAUUCAUUAGCAUCCUAAUCUUCGAGAUCAGAUUGACUCGGCGUAAUAGACUAUUCGCUGAGGACAUGCCCUAAUAAGCGUGGCUGGACUUGAAAAACUGGAAGCUUAUAAAACCCCGACUUCUAGUCAAAAUUUCUAAGAUUAGACCUCAGAUCAGAUAGGAUUACCCGCUGAACUUAAGCAUAUC